This 515-nucleotide ribosomal RNA is filed under the name Anaplasma centrale. RNAcentral describes it as "bacterial SSU rRNA". It matches the Rfam family "Bacterial small subunit ribosomal RNA", at positions 847 to 1359 of the family's 1533-position model. Lineage: Bacteria; Pseudomonadati; Pseudomonadota; Alphaproteobacteria; Rickettsiales; Anaplasmataceae. The record is from RNAcentral.
UGUAGCUAACGCGUUAAGCACUCCGCCUGGGGACUACGGUCGCAAGACUAAAACUCAAAGGAAUUGACGGGGACCCGCACAAGCGGUGGAGCAUGUGGUUUAAUUCGAUGCAACGCGAAAAACCUUACCACUUCUUGACAUGGAGGCUAGAUCUUCCUUAACGGGAAGGCGCAGUUCGGCUGGGCCUCGCACAGGUGCUGCAUGGCUGUCGUCAGCUCGUGUCGUGAGAUGUUGGGUUAAGUCCCGCAACGAGCGUAACCCUCAUCCUUAGUUACCAGCGGGUAAUGCCGGGCACUUUAAGGAAACUGCCAGUGAUAAACUGGAGGAAGGUGGGGAUGAUGUCAAGUCAGCACGGCCCUUAUGGGGUGGGCUACACACGUGCUACAAUGGCGACUACAAUAGGUUGCAACGUCGCAAGGCUGAGCUAAUCCGUAAAAGUCGUCUCAGUUCGGAUUGUCCUCUGUAACUCGAGGGCAUGAAGUCGGAAUCGCUAGUAAUCGUGGAUCAGCAUGCCA